UUAAGAGUUUGAUCCUAGCUCAGGAUGAACGCUGGCGGCGUGUCUAAGGCAUGCAAGUCGAACGACGUCUUUUGACUUCGGUCAAAGGAAACGAGUGGCAAACGGGAGAGUAACACAUUGGUAACCUACCUUCAAGACGGGGAUAGCUCGCCGAAAGGCGGAUUAAAACCCGAUAGUAAUGGGGGGACAUUAAGUCAUUCCCAUUUAAAUAAUUUAUUGCUUGAAGAGGGGCCUAUGGCCUAUCAGCUAGUUGGUGAGGUAAUAGCUCACCAAGGCAAUGACGGGUAGCGGGUGUGAGAGCACGACCCGCCUCACUGGGACUGAGAAACUGCCCAGACUCCUACGGGAGGCUGCAGUCAAGAAUCUUCCGCAAUGCGCGAAAGCGUGACGGAGCGACGCCGCGUGCAGGAUGAAGGCCUUCGGGUUGUAAACUGCUUUUCUGUCUGAAGAAUUCGUGACGGUAAGACAGGAAUAAGAGGUUGCUAACUCUGUGCCAGCAGCAGCGGUAAUACAGAGACCUCGAGCGUUAUCCGGAUUCAUUGGGCGUAAAGCGUCCGUAGGCGGUUGGACAAGUCAAUGGUUAAAUCCCGAGGCUCAACUUCGGGGCUGUCAUUGAAACUGUUCAACUAGAGGUCGGGAAAGGCAAGCGGAACUACCGGUGUAGUCGUAAUAAGCGUUGAUAUCGGUAGGAACACCAAAGGCGAAGGCAGCUUGCUGGAACGUACCUGACGCUCAGGGACGAAAGCGUGGGGAGCGAAUAGGAUUAGAUACCCUAGUAGUCCACGCCCUAAACAUUGUGCACUAGGUAUUGGCAGUAUCGACCCUGCCAGUGCCGUUGAAAAAAGCUAACGCGUUAAGUGCACCGCCUGGGGAGUACGGCCGCAAG
This 886-nucleotide ribosomal RNA is filed under the name Candidatus Magasanikbacteria bacterium CG10_big_fil_rev_8_21_14_0_10_40_10. RNAcentral describes it as "bacterial SSU rRNA". It matches the Rfam family "Bacterial small subunit ribosomal RNA", at positions 1 to 892 of the family's 1533-position model. Lineage: Bacteria; Candidatus Magasanikiibacteriota. The record is from RNAcentral.